AGUGAACGCUGGCGGUAGGCCUAGCACAUGCAAGUCGAACGGCAGCACAGUAAGAGCUUGCUCUUACGGGUGGCGAGUGGCGGACGGGUGAGGAAUACAUCGGAAUCUACUUUUUCGUGGGGGAUAACGUAGGGAAACUUACGCUAAUACCGCAUACGACCUACGGGUGAAAGCAGGGGAUCUUCGGACCUUGCGCGAUUGAAUGAGCCGAUGUCGGAUUAGCUAGUUGGCGGGGUAAAGGCCCACCAAGGCGACGAUCCGUAGCUGGUCUGAGAGGAUGAUCAGCCACACUGGAACUGAGACACGGUCCAGACUCCUACGGGAGGCAGCAGUGGGGAAUAUUGGACAAUGGGCGCAAGCCUGAUCCAGCCAUACCGCGUGGGUGAAGAAGGCCUUCGGGUUGUAAAGCCCUCUUGUUGGGAAAGAAAAGCAGCAGGUUAAUACCCCGCUGUUCUGACGGUACCCAAAGAAUAAGCACCGGCUAACUUCGUG
Molecule: ribosomal RNA, 492 nt
Filed under: uncultured bacterium
Lineage: Bacteria
Description: partial 16S ribosomal RNA
Rfam family: Bacterial small subunit ribosomal RNA
Source: RNAcentral